This 1823-nucleotide long non-coding RNA is filed under the name Solanum lycopersicum (tomato). RNAcentral describes it as "long non-coding RNA (SLYC_LNC001096)". The record is from RNAcentral. Lineage: Eukaryota; Viridiplantae; Streptophyta; Magnoliopsida; Solanales; Solanaceae.
GCAAAUUAUACAAAAUCACCAAUAAAAUAAUUUAAGUGAUAAUUAUAACACUUAAAUAUAUAAACUAUAGCUAUAAAAUAUAAUUAACUUUAUUAUAAUUACUACUAUUUACGAAAUUUCCAGAUUACGUAUAGAGUUAACUCCAAUAUUGGAGUAGUAGUUUAUAGAAUGUAGGACCAAUUCUUUAUUUAAAAAGUUUAUUUACUGUUUUUAGUAGCCACGUUGCAUUGAAAUCUCUUUCGUCAAUGCGAUACGCAAUGCCUGAUGCGUAAAAAAAGAAAAAGAAAAAAGAAAAAUAGGGGUGGUGAGACUAUUAAAGUUCGUCAACAACAAUAAUCAAAAUUAAAUGGUGAUAAUGAAGAUGAGUGUUCACCUCUUUGUGUUCCCCAGCUUAGUGGCUUUCUUCUUCUGUCUCUCUCAAGCAAAAUCAAUUACUUCAACUUCAACAAAACCCCUAAUUUACAUCGAAACCAAUCAGAGCACCGCUGCUGCUGCUAGAAGCUGCUCAUACACAUUGACAAUCAAAACAAGCUGUUCUUCACCUAAAUACACCAGAGACAGAGUCAGUAUUGCUUUUGGAGAUUCUUACGGUUUUGAGGUUCACGCGCCAAAGCUAGAUGAUCCGUCGUCGAAGAUAUUCGAAAGCUGUUCUACUGAUACUUUUCAGAUCCGUGGCCCCUGUAUUUAUGAGAUCUGCUACCUAAAUUUGAAGAGAGUUGGAUCGGACGGCUGGAAACCGGAGAGCGUCAAAGUUUACGGUCCAGAUCGUCCUGCUAUUACCUUUAAGUAUGAUAAGUUUCUUCCUAAUGGAGUUUGGUUUGGAUUUGAUCACUGUAAGAAACGCUCUCUCUAGGAAUAUGUUGUGUAUGAAAUUUGCUUUUUGCAGAUUUAAUCCAUGUAUUUAAAUGUGUUGUUUGGAUACAAUGAACAUUUGGUACGAUAGCGUUAAUGGGAGACGAUGGUGAAUGAAGAGGAUAAAGUGCCCUGUACUAAUAUUUUAAAAAUAACUUUGAGUUGUGAAUUAGUUUCAAUAUAGUAAUUAAAUCUGAAUCAAUAAAUUUAUGUCAUAUUCAGUUAUAAAAAAUUAAUCAUUUUGCAUAGGCUUUUUUAAAAGAAGGGAUAAUUUUACGAAAUCACCAAUUUGAUUAAUUUACCCUUUAUUCAUUGGGAAAUGUCUUGUAAUCUAUCUGAUUGAAAUCACUGUAUUAAUACCGAAUUUUGGAAAAAACUUUGUAUUUAUGUACUAUUUAAUAAUGUAUUUCAUAAUAUAUAUAUGUUUACGUGGAUAUCAUAAAUAUUGUAUCAUUAUAAAUAAAAACUUAUUCACGUGAAUAUAUAUAAACCUUUAAAAUACACUAUUAAAUAACGCAUGAAUAAUAAAUCAUGCUCAAAGUUUGAGAUUGCAAUAUCAAUUUUUGUCAAAAUUUAAAUAUAUUUCGAAUUAUUUUUCCUUUAUUCAUAUCGAUGGUCGACACGGAUAAUUAAAAUAAAUAUAAUGGGAAAAGGCAUAUAAAAAUUAUAAGUACUUCAAAGUUGGUGAUAACAAGAAUACAAAAUAGUGAUCAAGUGUUUAAUGAACUCAUUGAAAAGAUAAAUUUAGAACUUUAAUUUUGUUUUAUGUUUUCAAAGAGAAACUAUGGGAACAUUAAGCAUGAUUUCUUCUUUUUCCAAAUAACCUUGCUAAAAUAAAUUGUAUGUGGUAUCCUCUAGAAAAAAACAUUGAUACAACUCCAGAAGAUUUUCAGAAUCUGAUAAUUGACAUUUGAAUGGAAUGAAUUAAUACAAAGUUUUCAACUUUUAGUAUGUGGAUUGUGGGGUUAAAU